GCCUCUAUAGUUCAGCCAGGAUAGAAUGCAACCUUGCGGAGGUUGAGACCGAGGUUCAAAUCCUCGUGGGGGCA
RNAcentral lists this transfer RNA (74 nucleotides) under Candidatus Pacearchaeota archaeon. RNAcentral describes it as "tRNA-Arg". It matches the Rfam family "tRNA". Rfam says of the family: Transfer RNA (tRNA) molecules are approximately 80 nucleotides in length. Their secondary structure includes four short double-helical elements and three loops (D, anti-codon, and T loops). Further hydrogen bonds mediate the characteristic L-shaped molecular structure. tRNAs have two regions of fundamental functional importance: the anti-codon, which is responsible for specific mRNA codon recognition, and the 3' end, to which the tRNAs corresponding amino acid is attached (by aminoacyl-tRNA synthetases). tRNAs cope with the degeneracy of the genetic code in two manners: having more than one tRNA (with a specific anti-codon) for a particular amino acid; and 'wobble' base-pairing, i.e. permitting non-standard base-pairing at the 3rd anti-codon position. Lineage: Archaea; Nanobdellati. The record is from RNAcentral.